UGCGGAAGGAUCAUUAACCUUUCAAAACAGGGUGCGUCGCGGCCCCCGAGGUGCGGAAACAAGCCUCGAGCGGUUUGGGGUCCUCCCCUUCACGCGCGCACGACUGCCAUCCUUACUUUACGAGCACCUUCUGUUCUCCCUCGGCGGGGCAACCUGCCGUUGGAACCGAAUAAACUCUUUUUGCAUCUAGCAUUACCUGUUCCGAAACAAACAAUCGUUACAACUUUCAACAAUGGAUCUCUUGGCUCUGGCAUCGAUGAAGAACGCAGCGAAAUGCGAUAAGUAGUGUGAAUUGCAGAAUUCAGUGAAUCAUCGAAUCUUUGAACGCACAUUGCGCCCCUCGGUAUUCCGUGGGGCAUGCCUGUUCGAGCGUCAUCUACACCCUCAAGCUCUGCUUGGUGUUGGGCGUCUGUCCCGCCUCCGCGCGUGGACUCGCCCCAAAUUCAUUGGCAGCGGUCCUUGCCUCCUCUCGCGCAGCACAUUGCGCUUCUUGAGGGGCUCCGGUUCGCGUCCAACAAGCACAUUUACCGUCUUUGACCUCGGAUCAGGUAGGGAUACCCGCUGAACUUAAGCAUAUCAAUAA
Molecule: ribosomal RNA, 583 nt
Rfam family: 5.8S ribosomal RNA (bases 222-375)